Molecule: ribosomal RNA, 446 nt
Filed under: uncultured bacterium
Lineage: Bacteria
Description: bacterial SSU rRNA
Rfam family: Bacterial small subunit ribosomal RNA
Source: RNAcentral
GUUAAGAAUCUUGCACAAUGGGCGAAAGCCUGAUGCAGCGACACCGCGUGAGCGAUGAAGGCCUUCGGGUUGUAAAGCUCUUUUCCGGGGGAAGAAACAGGCGGCUAAUAACCGCUUACUGACGGUACCCCAUGAAUCAGCCUCGGCUAAUUACGUGCCAGCAGCCGCGGUAAUACGUAAGAGGCGAGCGUUGUCCGGAAUCACUGGGCGUAAAGCGCGUGUAGGUGGCUUGAUAAGUCGGAUGUGAAAUCCUCGGGCUCAACCCGGGAACUGCGUCCGAAACUGUCUCGCUCGAGAACAGGAGAGGAGAGUGGAAUUCCGGGUGUAGCGGUGAAAUGCGUAGAUAUCCGGAGGAACACCAGUGGCGAAGGCGGCUCUCUGGCCUGUUUCUGACACUGAGACGCGAAAGCGUGGGGAGCGAACGGGAUUAGAUACCCGGGUAGUCC